This 548-nucleotide ribosomal RNA is filed under the name Trichoderma parareesei. RNAcentral's name for it is "eukaryotic LSU rRNA". It matches the Rfam family "Eukaryotic large subunit ribosomal RNA", at positions 31 to 587 of the family's 3401-position model. The record is from RNAcentral. Lineage: Eukaryota; Fungi; Ascomycota; Sordariomycetes; Hypocreales; Hypocreaceae.
AACUUAAGCAUAUCAAUAAGCGGAGGAAAAGAAACCAACAGGGAUUGCCCCAGUAACGGCGAGUGAAGCGGCAACAGCUCAAAUUUGAAAUCUGGCCCUUACGGGUCCGAGUUGUAAUUUGUAGAGGAUGCUUUUGGCAAGGCGCCGCCCGAGUUCCCUGGAACGGGACGCCACAGAGGGUGAGAGCCCCGUCUGGCUGGCCGCCGAGCCUCUGUAAAGCUCCUUCGACGAGUCGAGUAGUUUGGGAAUGCUGCUCAAAAUGGGAGGUAUAUGUCUUCUAAAGCUAAAUAUUGGCCAGAGACCGAUAGCGCACAAGUAGAGUGAUCGAAAGAUGAAAAGCACCUUGAAAAGAGGGUUAAAUAGUACGUGAAAUUGUUGAAAGGGAAGCGCUUGUGACCAGACUUGGGCGCGGCGGAUCAUCCGGGGUUCUCCCCGGUGCACUUCGCCGUGUCCAGGCCAGCAUCAGUUCGUCGCGGGGGAAAAAGGCUUCGGGAACGUGGCUCCCCUGGGAGUGUUAUAGCCCGUUGCAUAAUACCCUGCGGUGGACU